This is a small nuclear RNA of Grammomys surdaster, 103 nucleotides long. The record is from RefSeq and is a predicted model, not a curated record. NCBI's taxonomy places the organism in Eukaryota, Metazoa, Chordata, Mammalia, Rodentia, Muridae.
UCACUUCAGCAGUCUAUAUAUUAGAAUUGGAACAAUUCAGAGAAGAGUAGCAUGGCUGCUAAGCAUAGAUGGUACACAAUUAAGUGAAGCAUUCCAUAUUUUU